RNAcentral lists this ribosomal RNA (253 nucleotides) under uncultured bacterium. Its description in RNAcentral is "partial 16S ribosomal RNA". It matches the Rfam family "Bacterial small subunit ribosomal RNA", at positions 524 to 776 of the family's 1533-position model. The record is from RNAcentral.
UACAGAGGUCUCAAGCGUUGUUCGGAUUCAUUGGGCGUAAAGGGUGCGUAGGCGGCGCGGUAAGUCGGGUGUGAAAUCUUGGAGCUUAACUCCGAAACUGCAUUCGAUACUGCCGUGCUUGAGGACUGGAGAGGAGACUGGAAUUUACGGUGUAGCGGUGAAAUGCGUAGAUAUCGUAAGGAAGACCAGUGGCGAAGGCGGGUCUCUGGACAGUUACUGACGCUGAGGCACGAAGGUGAGGGGAGCAAACGGG